ACCUGGCUGGCUCAGUCGGUAGAGCAUGAGACUCUUGAGCUUGGGGUUGUGAGUUCAAGCCCCAUGUUGGGCA
RNAcentral lists this transfer RNA (73 nucleotides) under Felis catus (domestic cat). It matches the Rfam family "tRNA". Rfam says of the family: Transfer RNA (tRNA) molecules are approximately 80 nucleotides in length. Their secondary structure includes four short double-helical elements and three loops (D, anti-codon, and T loops). Lineage: Eukaryota; Metazoa; Chordata; Mammalia; Carnivora; Felidae. The record is from Rfam by way of RNAcentral.